AAAGUCGAGGAAAAUGUGAAGAAAACUGAUGAUGAGGUUGAUAAAAAUUUGAAGAAAGGUAAUGUUGAGGUCAGUGACAACAAGCAAAAAAGCGACUCACAAGCUAAGAGAAAAGGGAAGAGAGGUUUAGACAAAAAACCUAUAGUAGAUACAGGAGUUAACAGAGGUAGUCCACAAGCUUCUCCGUUAAGCUCAACCGAGAAUUCUACUAAAGCUGGAAUUAAAGGAAAGGUUCAAGACUUUGUAAAGAUGUUCAACCACGAGGUUCAUUCGACACCUCAAGAAGGUGAAAGUCGAAGUAAAAGCUUUAGAUGGAAAGCUAGCAGCAAUAGUGGAGUUGAAAGUGAAAAGAGUUUCAACAUGCCAAAAGCAAAUGAGAAAGUUCGGUUCCCCAACGUUAACAAGACGCAAGAUGCAACUCAAAAUGUAGGCAGGGAACAGUUGAUUCACCGUUGUUUCCUGAUAGUGACCUGUAGAAUUUUCUGAUUCUAUGUCUUGCUUUAAAAAACCUAUAGUAGACACAGGAGUUAACAGAGGUAAUCCGCAAGCUUCUCCGUUAAGAUCAACCGAGAAUUCUACUAAAGCUGGAAUUAAAGGAAAGGUUCAUGACUUUGUAAAGAUGUUCAACCACGAGGUUCAUUCGACCC
This 647-nucleotide long non-coding RNA is filed under the name Nicotiana benthamiana. RNAcentral's name for it is "long non-coding RNA (NBEN_LNC040043)". Lineage: Eukaryota; Viridiplantae; Streptophyta; Magnoliopsida; Solanales; Solanaceae. The record is from RNAcentral.